UGCAAGUCGAGGGGCAGCGGAGAGGUAGCAAUACCUUUGCCGGCGACCGGCGCACGGGUGAGUAACACGUAUGCAAUCCACCUGUAACAGGGGGAUAACCCGGAGAAAUCCGGACUAAUACCCCAUAAUAUGGGCGCUCCGCAUGGAGAGUUCAUUAAAGAGAGCAAUUUUGGUUACAGACGAGCAUGCGCUCCAUUAGCCAGUUGGCGGGGUAACGGCCCACCAAGGCGACGAUGGAUAGGGGUUCUGAGAGGAAGGUCCCCCACAUUGGAACUGAGACACGGUCCAAACUCCUACGGGAGGCAGCAGUGAGGAAUAUUGGUCAAUGGUCGGCAGACUGAACCAGCCAAGUCGCGUGAGGGAAGACGGCCCUACGGGUUGUAAACCUCUUUUGUCGGAGAGUAAAGUACGCUACGUGUAGCGUAUUGCAAGUAUCCGAAGAAAAAGCAUCGGCUAACUCCGUGCCAGCAGCCGCGGUAAUACGGAGGAUGCGAGCGUUAUCCGGAUUUAUUGGGUUUAAAGGGUGCGUAGGCGGCAUGCCAAGUCAGCGGUGAAAUUUCCGGGCUCAACCCGGAGUGUGCCGUUGAAACUGGCGAGCUAGAGUGCACAAGAGGCAGGCGGAAUGCGUGGUGUAGCGUGAAAUGCAUAGAUAUCACGCA
Molecule: ribosomal RNA, 659 nt
Filed under: uncultured bacterium
Lineage: Bacteria
Description: bacterial SSU rRNA
Rfam family: Bacterial small subunit ribosomal RNA
Source: RNAcentral